RNAcentral lists this ribosomal RNA (495 nucleotides) under uncultured bacterium. RNAcentral describes it as "partial 16S ribosomal RNA". It matches the Rfam family "Bacterial small subunit ribosomal RNA", at positions 28 to 507 of the family's 1533-position model. The record is from RNAcentral.
GACGAACGCUGGCGGCGUGCCUAGUACAUGCAAGUAGAACGCUGAAGGAGGAGCUUGCUUCUCUGGAUGAGUUGCGAACGGGUGAGUAACGCGUAGGUAACCUGCCUGGUAGCGGGGGAUAACUAUUGGAAACGAUAGCUAAUACCGCAUAAUAGUAGAUGUUGCAUGACAUUUGCUUAAAAGGUGCAAUUGCAUCACUACCAGAUGGACCUGCGUUGUAUUAGCUAGUUGGUGGGGUAACGGCUCACCAAGGCGACGAUACAUAGCCGAUCUGAGAGGGUGAUCGGCCACACUGGGACUGAGACACGGCCCAGACGCCUACGGGAGGCAGCAGUAGGGAAUCUUCGGCAAUGGACGGAAGUCUGACCGAGCAACGCCGCGUGAGUGAAGAAGGUUUUCGGAUCGUAAAGCUCUGUUGUAAGAGAAGAACGAGUGUGAGAGUGGAAAGUUCACACUGUGACGGUAUCUUACCAGAAAGGGACGGCUAACUACGUG